This 473-nucleotide ribosomal RNA is filed under the name uncultured bacterium. RNAcentral's name for it is "bacterial SSU rRNA". It matches the Rfam family "Bacterial small subunit ribosomal RNA", at positions 241 to 730 of the family's 1533-position model. The record is from RNAcentral.
UUAGUUAGUUGGUGAGGUAAUGGUUCACCAAGGCAACGAUCAGUAGCCGGCCUGAGAGGGUGACCGGCCACAUUGGGAAUUAGUCACGGCCCAGACUCUUACGGGAGGCAGCAGUGGGGAAUAUUUCACAAUGGGGGAAACCGUGAUGCAGCAACGCGGUGUGAGCGAAGAAGUAUUUUGGUAUGUAAAGUUUUAUCAGCAGGGAAUAGUAAAUAAGGUACUUUAUUAAGAAGCCCGGGUUAAUUACUUGCCAGCAGCCGCGGUAAUACUUAGGGGGCAAGCGUUUUCCGGAUUUAUUGGGUGUAAAGGGGGGUUAGACGGCUGUUUAAGUCGGAAGUGAAAGCCCAUUGCUUACCCCUGGGAUUGUUUUGGAAAUUUAGGGGUUGGAUGCCAGGGGAGUUAAUUGGAAUUCUUGUUUUGGGGUUGAAAGGGUUGGUGAUUAGGAGGACCACCAUUGGGGAGGGGGGUUUAUU